This 433-nucleotide ribosomal RNA is filed under the name uncultured bacterium. Its description in RNAcentral is "partial 16S ribosomal RNA". It matches the Rfam family "Bacterial small subunit ribosomal RNA", at positions 29 to 507 of the family's 1533-position model. The record is from RNAcentral.
AACGAACGCUGGCGGCAUGCCUAACACAUGCCAGUCGAACGAGACCUUCGGGUCUAGUGGCGCACGGGUGCGUAACGCGUGGGAACCUGCCCUUAGGUUCGGAAUAAUUCCCCGAAAGGGGUGCUAAUACCGGAUAAUGUCCGCUGACCAAAGAUUUAUCGCCUUUGGAUGGGCCCGCGUUGGAUUAGCUAGUUGGUAGGGUAAAAGCCUACCAAGGCGACGAUACAUAGCUGGUCUGAGAGGAUGAUCAGCCACACUGGGACUGGGACACGGCCCAGACUCCUACGGGAGGCAGCAGUGGGGAAUAUUGGACAAUGGGCGAAAGCCUGAUCCAGCAAUGCCGCGUGAGUGAUGAAGGCCUUAGGGUUGUAAAGCUCUUUUACCCGGGAUGAUAAUGACAGUACCGGGAGAAUAAGCUCCGGCUAACUCCGUG